This 253-nucleotide ribosomal RNA is filed under the name uncultured bacterium. RNAcentral describes it as "partial 16S ribosomal RNA". It matches the Rfam family "Bacterial small subunit ribosomal RNA", at positions 524 to 776 of the family's 1533-position model. The record is from RNAcentral.
UACAGAGGUCUCGAGCGUUAGGCGGAAUCACUGGGCUUAAAGCGUGUGUAGGCGGGUCGUUAAGUACCUUGUGAAAUCCCACGGCUUAACUGUGGAACGGCUUGGUAUACUGGCGAUCUUGAGCCACUUAGGGGCUACCGGAACAGAUGGUGGAGCGGUGAAAUGCGUAGAUAUCAUCUGGAACGCCAAUGGUGAAAACAGGUAGCUGGGAGUGUGCUGACGCUGAGACACGAAAGCCAGGGGAGCGAACGGG